UGGGGAAUAUUGGACAAUGGGGGCAACCCUGAUCCAGCCAUGCCGCGUGAGUGAAGAAGGCCUUAGGGUUGUAAAGCUCUUUCGGCGGGGACGAUGAUGACGGUACCCGCAGAAGAAGCCCCGGCUAACUCCGUGCCAGCAGCCGCGGUAACACGGAGGGGGCGAGCGUUGUUCGGAAUUACUGGGCGUAAAGCGCACGUAGGCGGCGCGUCGAGUUAGGGGUGAAAGGCCUGGGCUUAACCUGGGAACUGCCUUUAAUACUGGCGUGCUGGAGUCCGGGAGGGGGUAGCGGAAUUCCCAGUGUAGAGGUGAAAUUCGUAGAUAUUGGGAAGAACACCGGUGGCGAAGGCGGCUACCUGGCCCGGAACUGACGCUGAGGUGCGAAAGCGUGGGACGCAAACAGG
Molecule: ribosomal RNA, 404 nt
Filed under: uncultured prokaryote
Also listed under: 1 other name
Description: bacterial SSU rRNA
Rfam family: Bacterial small subunit ribosomal RNA
Source: RNAcentral